ACCUACACUGCAGCUUAUGGCAAUGAUGGAUUCCUUUAAUACACUGAGCAAGACCAGAUAUCUAACCUGAAACCUCAUGGAUAUGAGUCUGGUUCAUCAUAGCUGAGCCACAAUGGGAACUCUCAAGGGAGAAAUGUUUUUAUUUUUGAAUUUAGUAAUUCAUCCACAGUUAGUUGUCUCCCUGGAUAGAGAAGCCAGGAUACAGGAGGGCCAACUCUACAAUGCCAUUUUACAAAAGGAACUUGAGCAUCAGAGUAGUUUUGUAUCUGCAGGGGUCCUGGAAUCAACACCCUGUGGUUACUGAGUGAGGACCAUAUAACUUUCAGUGGGUAUUAUUCCAUGUAUUAGUAGACCAAUAGACAAGGGAUUUGGAGGAAGGGAUUGAGUUUUGCUGCAACUUAUUUCAAAAUUUGAAGCUUGCGUACACUCCUGCAAGGUAAACUCAGAGCCCACACUGAAAAAGCUAUUUUUCUCAGCAACUAAAUAGAACUGAAUAUGGGAAAUAUAAGAGAAUUGAUUUUAAAAAAGACAUAACUAGAGGAAGAUAUGGAUUUGAGGAGUUAAGAGUAAUGUUUUUUGAAGCAUUUUGCAAAGCUGCCUUUUUGGAAGGAAUGUUGCCACCUGGGAAAUUGGCAUCAAAUAAAUAAUGCUGCCAAGAGCACAUCAGGAGCUUAGAUGCUCUAUGAGCACAAAUUCACAGAGCAGAAUUAAUGAGGACAUCUUGUAUUAAAUCAUUUGACAACCUGGAUGCUGUUUAUCAUUGAAAUGUAACAAUAUACAUUUUUAUGCUAUAAAAUGUUGACCUUCAUAUUGAAUGUAUUACAGUAGGAAUAUAUAUGUGCAUUUUUAUAUGUGUAGUUUUCUCACCCUAAUUCUCUAUGGGAAUGCAUGCUGUCAGAGGGAUGCACCCUUAGAUGCUGAACAGGGAGGGCAGGACAAUUAGAGGGAUCCUGAAAGUGGCACCUGGCAAUCUCCUAAAAUUCCUACUAAUGAGGAAGGCUACAGGGCUUCUUAUGUGGAAUACGUAUACACCUUAACCCACUCAAUCCCCUCAUAUGCCUUAACCCACUCAAUCCCCUCCAUCUUUUCAUCUGUAUGCUGUUGCCACAUUAAUCUUCCUCAAUCUCCAAAUUUGUGAUAUUUCUCUCCAAUUUACAGCCUUUCAAUGGUUACCUAUUUCUCACAAAUGCAAUACACAUAUCUUCACCUGGUAGUUCAGACUUUGCUAGGUAUAGCCUACAGAAACACUUCUCUUGGAGUAAACUGAAAAUUUCAAAGUUUGCUACACUCACUUUAAAUUUUCUUAAUUAUACUUUUCUCAGCCUUUUCAGUCUGCUUGCUUUGUAAAACUUCAUUCUGAAAAUAGUCAUAGGUCUUGUGCUUGUUUUGGGGUAAAGAUGAAUGUGCUCCCAGUUUCUCUAAGUAGUUCUAGGGAAAAAAUAAAGGUGGAAAUUAUAAAAAUCUCCCUUUUUAUGGGAAAAGACAGCUUGCAUACAAGCUCUGUUGAGGUAUACAUAAGUAAUUUACAUAAUCAGCAUGAGUUCCAAGCAUCUCUGUGUUCAGUUACAUUAAAUGAAAAGUUUGCUCAAUAUAAAUGCAGUUGGCUCUCGCUCUUCCUAUUUACAGUUAAAGAAAAGUUCCCUUUAACUUACAAGGAAAGAAUAUGUGCUAGGAUCAAAAUGUAUCAAUGUGCCAAGAAAGAGACACUGUAACUUGCUCCUCCUAAAAUAAUUGAUUAUGCAGGCUUGAGCCUUGCCAACCGAGUGAGAAAAAUUUAAGAAAGAAUUAAGACAGAAAAAUGUCCAAGGAAUGGAAAAGAAAGAAAUUUGUGCAACUCCAAAUUAAAAAAAAGCCUGGCACAAUGCCUCUUGGGCUGUGCCAGCCCUACCAUCUGUGGCCAGACUGAGUUAAGGUAGGAUAAAAACAUCUAUACUAUAAAAUAUGUGUCUGUCAUUGCUUUUUCUUAUUUUUCUAGUUAAAGCUGGAUAACAAUCUCAGAUUAAGAAGGCAACAUUGGUUUCCCUUUAUCUGAGAUAUGUUUACUUGGACAAUAGUACAUUUAUGGAGUUUGGCAUAAUGGGAGCAGCAUGAGCAGCAGCUUAGAGUUCUGAAAUGAGUUUGGGAAGUAGAAAUAAAGAGAAAUGAAAGUGAACAGUUAUCCCUAUCCGUUGCUUUCCAAGGGAUCUGGUGAAUUUUGCACCUGGCCAUAAAUGUGCUAAAGUACACUCUCUGAGUUAUUUAUCUGCUUUCAUUUAUUACUUCCAAUUUAUUUCCUAAAAUCUUAGGUGGGUUUCAUGUCCCCCUUUCUCCAUUCAUGCCCCACACCCCCCAUUUGAAGCUUAGAGAAAAAAAAAGCACUCAGUAUUCUUCAGAUUGUGAUGUGGUGGUGGUAGAGAGAAGACUGUGUUUGGAGGAGGAAAACAUGUCCACUCUGAUUGCAUCCCAUUUUUUUAGGCCCUUUGGUGUGUCAUUCUUGGUGGAAAGAUUAGGAAGCUCAAUUUGGUGACAGGUAUGACUUUUCCUUUUUAAAGAUCAGAUGGGUGAGGCCUGAAUGAACACAAAGCGUUAACAGUUCAUGGAAACCUUGCAGGUUGUUUCUAUUAGUUCAGUUCAGUUUACCAGAUUGGAAAAGCAGACAGGGACUUAAAGCAAAGACUGGUGUGGGAAUGAAUUUUCCUUUAGCUACAGAAAUAUCUUUAAGGAUGACCAGAAGAGGUGAGGGAAAGAGAUGCUGAUUUUAUGGUUGAGAAAAUUCCAGAAUAGUGAAUGGAUCAUAUUUUCCACUGGAUGAAGCUAUGUUUCCUUCUGGUUUCUACUCUAUUGCACUUCCAAAGAGAGAGAAUAUUUUAUGUAUUCCUGUCUAUCUCUACUUUUGUCUUUUUCUCUGUGGCAGAAGAAGCAUCACAGUGAAGUAUAUAUAAUACACAAUGACAAAUGAUGUAGUAUACUGCUUUAUGAUAGUUGUUCCAGGACUUAGAAAGUUCAUGAAUUAGUAAAUUUUCCGAGUACUUACAUAAGUGUGCUGAUACUAUUUUGCCAAGUAAAAUAAAUAUUUAUAUAUAUGAAUAAAUAUAAGUAAAUAUUUCAUCUACCAUCACCAUAAUUAGGUAACACAAAGGAUAUUUAACAUAAAAACAUAACAAAAUAAUCUCAGAGUUUUAAAAAUAAUACAUUUUUCUUUAAAAUAAAUCAUAUCUUUCAAAUUUCAUCUGGUCAGGUAAGGAUUUCAUUAAUUGUGAAGUAGAGAGUCUGAAAGGGAAAACAUUAUUCACUAAUAUUGUUACUGAUUCAAGUCAAAUUCUAGCUUAUAAAGUUUUUAACCUGUUAAAUAUGUUUAAUUAUAUUGAUUUUCAAAUAUUCAACAAAACAUUUAUAGGAUAAACCGCAGUGGCAUAAAAUACUUUAAAAAUAUAUUGUAUCAAAAUUUCUAAAAUUAUCUUUAGAAUUUUUCCAAUGAUUUAAUGAAAGAUGUUUGUAGUUUUCCUUUAUAAUACUGGUUUUAUCCAGUUUUGGUAUCAACAUUUAGUUUACUGAAUGGUAGUUAUAAAAGAAAUAUGUCCAUAUCCCAAUACCCAGGACUGGUGAAUAUUAUCUUAUAUGGUAAAGAAGUGAAUACCAACUUAUGUGAUACCUCCCCCCCCAAAUUAAGGAUCUUGAGAAGCUGGGAUUAUCCUGGAUUAUCUGGUUAGCUCCCAAUACAGUAACAAGUGUUCUCAUAAGACAGAGGCAAAGGAACAUUUGAGACAGAGAGGAGAGGAAAGACACAGACAAAGAAAAGGUCAAAUCAGCAUGUCCACACAGGCAAAGAUUGAAGAGAUAUGGCCACAAGUCAAGAAACACUUGAGGAUAAACAAAAAAUAAUUAUUCCCUAGAGGCUCCAGAGUAUGCGCUGUCUUGCUGAUACCUUUAGACUCCAGAACUGAAAGAAAAUAAAUUUCUGUUAUCUUAAGUCACCUGGUCUGUAUUAAUUUGUUAUAGAAACCUUAAGAAACUAACAUAAUUAACAUGCAAGAUAAUAAUGGCUUCUAAAAAGAAUUUUUAAAACAGUUUAUAUGAAAUUAGUAUUAUUUAAUUUUUAGGUAUUUGUUAGGAUGGAUCAGUGAAGCCAUCUGGGCCUGCACUUUUCUUUGUAUAAUGUUCUUGUUUUUUGUUUUUUAUUUUUCCCCUACAAAUUCACUUUCUGUAAUGGAUGUAGGGCUAAUCAAGUUAUCUGUGUCAUCAUAAAUAAACUUCAAUAGUUUUAUCUUUUAAGGAAUUCAUCUAUUUCAUUUAUAUUUUAAAAUUUAUUGGUAUAGAGUUGUCCUAAUGCUAUCUUUUAUUUCUGAUAUUAUUUUUAAUAUUUUUGUCUAUUUUUUCUUCUUUUUUUGCUGGUUUCAAGUGGGUUAUGGCUUGAAUUGUGUUCCCCUCCAUAUACUCCCUUUAAAAAACACAUCAUAUUUUAAGUCCUAACUCUCAGUACUUCAGAAUGUGACUUUAUUAUGGAAAUAAAAUAAUUAUGGAUAUAAUUUGUUAAAAGGAUGACAAACUAGCAUAGAGUGGGUUUUUAACUCAAUAUGACUGGUGUUCUUAAAAGGAGGGGAAUUUGGACACAGAUAUACACAUGGGGAUAAACUCCAUGUGACCAUAAAGGCAGAGAUCAAUAAGCUAAAUAAAAGGCAGAGAUCAAUAAGCUAAAUAAUGUCAAACAUUGCCAGCAAACUACUAGAAGCUAUGGGAGAGGAAAUUAGAACAGAAAUUUCAAGAAGGACACUAAAUCAUGAGUCAGAAAGUAUGAACAAGUUACAGCCAGAAAAUUAAAAAAAACAAAAAACCUGGAUCUGUUAAUAAUGAACUGAAGAGUCCUUUUGAAAUAGAAUUGUCAUUACCUUCCCCCUAGGAAGUAUGCCAUAGAGUGUUUUCACAAGGGACUGUGGCAAAUCCAUAAUCCACAAACUAGUAAAUAUAGACCAAGAACUAUGAAGAAGUUACCAACUAGAUUGUUUCCAUAAUGAUAUUGCAAUUGCAUUGUUUUACAAAUGAUUUCUAAUGCUAUAACACUAAUAAUACUAAUACUACUAUAUGGGAGUUUUCUAAGUAGUUUACAUGUGAAAUUAAAAACAAACAAACAAACAAAUAAACAGAGUUUCUGUCAUGGCUCAGUGGUUAACAAUUCCAACUAGGAACCAUGAGGUUGUGAGUCAAUCCCUGGCCUUGCUCAGUAGGUUAAGGAUUUUGUGUUGCUGUGAGCUGUGGUGUAGAUCACAGACAUGGUUCGUAUCCCAUGUUGCUGUGGCUGUGGCAUACGCUAGCAGCUGUAGCUCUGAUUGGACCCCUAGCCUGG
RNAcentral lists this long non-coding RNA (5320 nucleotides) under Sus scrofa (pig). RNAcentral's name for it is "lncRNA (ENSSSCG00050062245.1)". Lineage: Eukaryota; Metazoa; Chordata; Mammalia; Artiodactyla; Suidae. The record is from RNAcentral.